CAUCAGCUGGGAGCGUCUGCUUGACCCUAAAAGUGAAUAUCGGAUGCACCUCCUGCUUGCACUCUACCGAACACCUCUAAUACAAGGGAUAACUUCCUGGUGUUAGUUGAUCCGAUCAACCGGGGGAAAUCAUGCCUUAAGGAAACAGGCCAGAGAGAAGCAUCCCCAAUACGGCAUUAGAGGAAUAUCUCAAAGUUACCAAUCUGCUCAACAUCAACUCCCCAGCAGUGCUAAAUGCAUCUAUGCAACUCUGUACAAUUAUAAGCUGCUUCCUUACUUUUAUUUUCCUUGCCCUCUUGGUCAAUCAAACUUACUGAGUUUUAGGGAAGUUAAUCUCAUUGUAUACUGCUUUAAUUAUUGCUACAUGAAUCAUUCAAGAGGGGGGAAAAAAGCAAGUCUGGUAUAAUAAGAAACUACAAGAACUGACCAUGUAUAUAGCCUUCCAUCUGCUAGCCAAGCUAAAGUCACCAUGAAUUGACAGGUUGUUUGCCCCAAAAUAUAACAGUUGUCUUAAAAAGUAUGAUUUCAAGGUAAGCCAUGUGUGGUGUCUUAUCCAUCUAAUGCACAGGAGGGAAUACAUGAAAACAGCACAUCUCUUGGGAUAUUCCUUGAGGAAAAAAAAAUCAUAAUCAAAUUGUUUGCAAAACACUAAGUACAAAUGGGCCCCUUUUAGAGUUUAAUAAAGAUGACCCAGGUUUCAAAAUAUAUAGAAAUCAUUAUUGUUAAUCCUAUCCUAGUGCAUCAUUUGUCACUGUGAAGGCAUCCCCUUUUUACCUCAAAUAUCUAUUUGAUUCUAGUUUGCCAAAUAUUAAGGUAAAAAAAGAUGAUCCAGGUUUGUGCGGUAAAGAAACCUAUUUAAUUAACUUGGUUUAUCCCCAAAUUUCCCAAACGUAUUUGAUUUGUGCUCUGUCCAAGUUUUAUAGCUGAGGUCAGUGGGAGGUAAGUGGAGGUGUGUGUUUACUUCACAUGGUUGGGGAAGUCAUUUUUUGGCACACCUAUUCAUCUCUGGAAACGCAAAUGUUUUUGCAUGGAAAAUAUUUGAGGGAAAUGUGGAUCUAGAGAUUAAAUUCAUCACAUGUUUACUUACCCUAUCCCUUCUUUCUGAUGCUAUUCCAUUCUAGGUCAGGGGUGGAUAACAUGUGAAUUUGUGAGAAAAAUUCCUAGCAUAACUGCUCACAAAUGGAAAUUGCCACCCCUACCUCACCUCAAGCUGACUAACGCAGUCCAUAAUCUCCUGUAAUAAAAUGAAUCCUCCGUAACUCAAGAUGUUCAAGCAUCACAGAUCAGGCAGGGCUUAUCACUCUAAAGCGUUCACAGACAUUUCCAAGCAUCUAUCUUGUGUGAAGCUCAGUGCAUUCCUAGCCUGUCAGCAGGACACUGGUCUUUGAAGCUCAGAGAAGGUAGGGCCAUGCCAAGAAGGUAUCCAGGGGGGAUGAUGACUCAUGGACCACCAGAGGCUUCCAAGGAAGAGAAUGAGUGGCCAGGCUGGAAGGUGACAGAGACCCUCAAACAAGGUCAUGGGGUGGCACUGCCCUGACCACGUGCGUAGAACCUUAAAUGGGUCUGGAUGGGGUAG
Molecule: long non-coding RNA, 1576 nt
Organism: Cervus hanglu yarkandensis (Yarkand deer)
Lineage: Eukaryota; Metazoa; Chordata; Mammalia; Artiodactyla; Cervidae
Source: Ensembl